Molecule: transfer RNA, 72 nt
Filed under: Phrynosoma platyrhinos (Desert horned lizard)
Lineage: Eukaryota; Metazoa; Chordata; Lepidosauria; Squamata; Phrynosomatidae
Description: tRNA-OTHER
Source: RNAcentral
ACCAGUGUGAUGUAGUGGUUUGGGCACUGGACUAUGGCUUUGGAGAUCAGGGUUGGAAUCCCUGCUUUGUCA